Molecule: ribosomal RNA, 441 nt
Filed under: uncultured bacterium
Lineage: Bacteria
Description: bacterial SSU rRNA
Rfam family: Bacterial small subunit ribosomal RNA
Source: RNAcentral
UGCGGGUUGUAAAGCCCUUUCGGUGGGGAAGAAAAGCCUCGACCUAAUACGUCGGGGUCUUGACGUAACCCAAGAAAGAAGCACCGGCUAACUCUGUGCCAGCAGCCGCGGUAAUACAGAGGGUGCGAGCGUUAAUCGGAAUUACUGGGCGUAAAGCGCGCGUAGGCGGCUUUGCAAGUCGGGUGUGAAAUCCCCAGGCUUAACCUGGGAACUGCACUCGAGACUGCAUUGCUAGAGUAUGGGAGAGGGAAGUGGAAUUUCCGGUGUAGCGGUGAAAUGCGUAGAUAUCGGAAGGAACAUCAGUGGCGAAAGCGACUUCCUGGACCAAUACUGACGCUCAUGUGCGAAAGCGUGGGGAGCAAACAGGAUUAGAUACCCUGGUAGUCCACGCCAUAAACGAUGAGAACUGGAUGUCGGGAGGGUCUGCCUCUCGGUGUCGUA